Molecule: ribosomal RNA, 98 nt
Filed under: Scartella emarginata (maned blenny)
Lineage: Eukaryota; Metazoa; Chordata; Actinopteri; Blenniiformes; Blenniidae
Description: partial 16S rRNA
Source: RNAcentral
AGCCCAACAGCUAGCCCACCCAAGAAGAACAAAACCCCCACAUUAAUAAACCCGCAUGCAAUACAUCCACACACUAAAACAUUUUACCCCUUUAGUAU